RNAcentral lists this ribosomal RNA (256 nucleotides) under uncultured bacterium. Its description in RNAcentral is "partial 16S ribosomal RNA". It matches the Rfam family "Bacterial small subunit ribosomal RNA", at positions 524 to 776 of the family's 1533-position model. The record is from RNAcentral.
UACGUAGGGUGCUAGCGUUGUCCGGAUUUAUUGGGCGUAAAGGGCUCGUAGGCGGCGUGUCGCGUCGGGGAGUGAAAGCCCGCUGCUUAACGGCGGGUUGGCUUCCGGUACGGGCAUCGCUGGAGUGCGGCAGGGGAGACUGGAAUUCCUGGUGUAGCGGUGGAAUGCGCAGAUACUCAGGAGGAACACCGGUGGCGAAGGCGGGUCUCUGGGCCGUUACUGACGCUGAGGAGCGAAAGCGUGGGGAGCGAACAGG